UAGCGGUUGUAGUUAUAUAUCUA
This 23-nucleotide non-coding RNA is filed under the name Arabidopsis thaliana (thale cress). Lineage: Eukaryota; Viridiplantae; Streptophyta; Magnoliopsida; Brassicales; Brassicaceae. The record is from RNAcentral.